This 1490-nucleotide ribosomal RNA is filed under the name Halomonas campaniensis. Its description in RNAcentral is "bacterial SSU rRNA". It matches the Rfam family "Bacterial small subunit ribosomal RNA". Lineage: Bacteria; Pseudomonadati; Pseudomonadota; Gammaproteobacteria; Oceanospirillales; Halomonadaceae. The record is from RNAcentral.
AUUGAACGCUGGCGGCAGGCCUAACACAUGCAAGUCGAGCGGCAGCACGGGAAGCUUGCUUCCUGGUGGCGAGCGGCGGACGGGUGAGUAAUGCAUAGGAAUCUGCCCGAUAGUGGGGGAUAACCUGGGGAAACCCAGGCUAAUACCCCAUACGUCCUACGGGAGAAAGCAGGGGCUCUUCGGACCUUGCGCUAUCGGAUGAGCCUAUGUCGGAUUAGCUGGUUGGUGAGGUAAUGGCUCACCAAGGCGACGAUCCGUAGCUGGUCUGAGAGGAUGAUCAGCCACAUCGGGACUGAGACACGGCCCGAACUCCUACGGGAGGCAGCAGUGGGGAAUAUUGGACAAUGGGCGCAAGCCUGAUCCAGCCAUGCCGCGUGUGUGAAGAAGGCCCUCGGGUUGUAAAGCACUUUCAGUGGGGAAGAAAGCCUUGGGGCUAAUACCCUCGAGGAAGGACAUCACCCACAGAAGAAGCACCGGCUAACUCCGUGCCAGCAGCCGCGGUAAUACGGAGGGUGCGAGCGUUAAUCGGAAUUACUGGGCGUAAAGCGCGCGUAGGUGGCUUGAUAAGCCGGUUGUGAAAGCCCCGGGCUCAACCUGGGAACGGCAUCCGGAACUGUCAGGCUAGAGUGCAGGAGAGGAAGGUAGAAUUCCCGGUGUAGCGGUGAAAUGCGUAGAGAUCGGGAGGAAUACCAGUGGCGAAGGCGGCCUUCUGGACUGACACUGACACUGAGGUGCGAAAGCGUGGGUAGCAAACAGGAUUAGAUACCCUGGUAGUCCACGCCGUAAACGAUGUCGACUAGCCGUUGGGAGCCUCGAGUUCUUAGUGGCGCAGUUAACGCGAUAAGUCGACCGCCUGGGGAGUACGGCCGCAAGGUUAAAACUCAAAUGAAUUGACGGGGGCCCGCACAAGCGGUGGAGCAUGUGGUUUAAUUCGAUGCAACGCGAAGAACCUUACCUACCCUUGACAUCGUGCGAACUUGGUAGAGAUACCUUGGUGCCUUCGGGAACGCACAGACAGGUGCUGCAUGGCUGUCGUCAGCUCGUGUUGUGAAAUGUUGGGUUAAGUCCCGUAACGAGCGCAACCCUUGUCCCUAUUUGCCAGCGAUUCGGUCGGGAACUCUAGGGAGACUGCCGGUGACAAACCGGAGGAAGGUGGGGACGACGUCAAGUCAUCAUGGCCCUUACGGGUAGGGCUACACACGUGCUACAAUGGUCGGUACAAAGGGUUGCAAAGCGGCGACGUGGAGCUAAUCCCAGAAAGCUGAUCUCAGUCCGGAUCGGAGUCUGCAACUCGACUCCGUGAAGUCGGAAUCGCUAGUAAUCGUGAAUCAGAAUGUCACGGUGAAUACGUUCCCGGGCCUUGUACACACCGCCCGUCACACCAUGGGAGUGGACUGCACCAGAAGUGGUUAGCCUAACUUCGGAGGGCGAUCACCACGGUGUGGUUCAUGACUGGGGUGAAGUCGUAACAAGGUAGCCGUAGGGGAACC